UUUCCGUAGGUGAACCUGCAGAAGGAUCAUUCAUAAUAAAGUGUUUUAUGGCACUUUUUAAAAAUCCAUAUCCACCUUGUGUGCAAUGUUAGAUCUCGUCAAUCUUGGCGAGAUUUUUAUACAUCAACUCAUUCUUUAACUAAUUUGUCUGAAAAAUAUUAUGAAUACUUAAUUCAAAAUACAACUUUCAACAACGGAUCUCUUGGCUCUC
RNAcentral lists this unclassified non-coding RNA (211 nucleotides) under plant metagenome. Its description in RNAcentral is "partial contains small subunit ribosomal RNA, internal transcribed spacer 1, and 5.8S ribosomal RNA". The record is from RNAcentral.